CUCUUUGCACAGUGGCCCUAUCAUAAUCAAUGAGGUUCACCUGAGGCCCGAUUAUUGCUAAUUGAAAACUUCCAAUGCCACAAGAUAACUUGCAAUAGAGCUGGCACUGACCG
This 113-nucleotide small nuclear RNA is filed under the name Nomascus leucogenys (northern white-cheeked gibbon). RNAcentral describes it as "U4 spliceosomal RNA (ENSNLEG00000036081.1)". Lineage: Eukaryota; Metazoa; Chordata; Mammalia; Primates; Hylobatidae. The record is from RNAcentral.